UUUUACCUGAUGAGCUUUAACUUUCGCCCCUAUCUGAAAAUUAAGUGAAACUUCUCAUGUUGAAUGCGAGAUUGGUCUUACUGAAAUACAAAA
Molecule: small nucleolar RNA, 93 nt
Organism: Drosophila busckii
Lineage: Eukaryota; Metazoa; Arthropoda; Insecta; Diptera; Drosophilidae
Rfam family: Small nucleolar RNA Me28S-Gm1083
About the family: Me28S-Gm1083 is a member of the C/D class of snoRNA which contain the C (UGAUGA) and D (CUGA) box motifs.
Source: Rfam